Molecule: ribosomal RNA, 406 nt
Filed under: uncultured bacterium
Lineage: Bacteria
Description: partial 16S ribosomal RNA
Rfam family: Bacterial small subunit ribosomal RNA
Source: RNAcentral
AUUGAACGCUGGCGGCAGGCCUAACACAUGCAAGUCGAACGAGUGGCGGACGGGUGAGUAAUGUCUGGGAAACUGCCCGAUGGGGGGGGAUAACUACGGGAAAGGGUAGCUAAUCGCGCAUACCAUCGGAAGUGCCCAGAUGGGAUUAGCUAGUAGGUGGGGUAACGGCUCACCUAGGCGACGAUCCCUAGCUGGUCUGAGAGGAUGAUCAUCCACACUGGAACGGAGACACGGUCCAGACUCCUACGGGAGGCAGCAGUGGGGAAUAUUGCACAAUGGGCGCAAGCCUGAUGCAGCCAUGCCGCGUGUAUGAAGAAGGCCUUCGGGUUGUAAAGUACUUUCAGCGAGGAGGCGUUACUCGCAGAAGAAGCACCGGCUAACUCCGUGCCAGCAGCCGCGGUAAUAC